CCUACGGGAGGCAGCAGUGAGGAAUAUUGGUCAAUGGACGAGAGUCUGAACCAGCCAAGUAGCGUGAAGGAUGACUGCCCUAUGGGUUGUAAACUUCUUUUAUAUGGGAAUAAAAUGUUCCACGUGUGGGCUUUUGUAUGUACCUUAUGAAUAAGGAUCGGCUAAAUCCGUGCCAGCAGCCGCGGUAAUACGGAGGAUCCGAGCGUUAUCCGGAUUUAUUGGGUUUAAAGGGAGCGUAGGGGGGUUGUUAAGUCAGUUGUGAAAGUGUGCGGCUCAACCGUAAAAUUGCAGUUGAAACUGGCAGUCUAGAGUACAGGAGAGGUGGGCGGAAUUCGUGGUGUAGCGGUGAAAUGCGUAGAUAUCACGAAGAACUCCGAUGGCGAAGGCAGUUCACUGGACUGCAACUGACGCUGAGGCACGAAAGUGUGGGUAUCAAACAGGAUUAGAUACCCGAGUAGUC
RNAcentral lists this ribosomal RNA (460 nucleotides) under uncultured bacterium. Its description in RNAcentral is "partial 16S ribosomal RNA". It matches the Rfam family "Bacterial small subunit ribosomal RNA", at positions 338 to 795 of the family's 1533-position model. The record is from RNAcentral.